AGCAGCCGCGGUAAUUCCAGCUCCAAUAGCGUAUAUUAAAGUUGUUGCAGUUAAAAAGCUCGUAGUUGAAUUUCGGGAUCAAUUGAUUGGUCAUGCCUACGGUAUGUACUAGUCAUAUUGGUUCUCACCUUCUAAUGAACCUUAAUGUCAUUCACUUGAUGUUUUGGGGAAUUAGGACUGUUACCUUGAAAAAUUAGAGUGUUUAAAGCAGGCUUACGCUUGAAUACAUUAGCAUGGAAUAAUGAAAUAGGACAUCGCAUUCUAUUUUGUUGGUUUCUAGGAUCGAUGUAAUGAUUAAUAGGGAUAGUUGGGGGCAUUAGUAUUCAAUUGUCAGAGGUGAAAUUCUUGGAUUUAUUGAAGACUAACUACUGCGAAAGCAUUUGCCAAGGAUGUUUUCAUUAAUCAAGAACGAAAGUUAGGGGAUCGAAGACGAUCAGAUACCGUCGUAGUCUUAACCAUAAACUAUGCCGACUAGGGAUCGGAUGAUGUUAAUUUUAAAUGACUCAUUC
RNAcentral lists this small RNA (509 nucleotides) under uncultured Entrophospora. RNAcentral describes it as "SSU rRNA". It matches the Rfam family "Eukaryotic small subunit ribosomal RNA", at positions 569 to 1081 of the family's 1831-position model. Lineage: Eukaryota; Fungi; Glomeromycota; Glomeromycetes; Entrophosporales; Entrophosporaceae. The record is from RNAcentral.